AAUAAAAAACGGAGCAAUGUGUGUCUUGUGAAGUUGGUCAGGUCCUGACGGAAGCAGCCAUAAGCGUGAAACACAUGUGCUCUUUUUUGUUCUCUAUU
This 98-nucleotide signal recognition particle RNA is filed under the name Lactovum miscens. RNAcentral's name for it is "Bacterial small signal recognition particle RNA". It matches the Rfam family "Bacterial small signal recognition particle RNA". Rfam says of the family: The signal recognition particle (SRP) is a universally conserved ribonucleoprotein involved in the co-translational targeting of proteins to membranes. The record is from Rfam by way of RNAcentral. Lineage: Bacteria; Bacillati; Bacillota; Bacilli; Lactobacillales; Streptococcaceae.